ACAGUCGGGUCGGGAGCCCUGUGGCCUGGAGGAAGCGGGAGGAGGCGCGGGCAGCCGCCAGGGCGAGGCGACCCGGUGCGAGGGGACUCCCAUGGAGCGCCGACUCCUAAGGAAGUCGCUGGGUAUCCCACCGGCUGUACCGCGGGGCGUUAGUACCUAGAUGGCUUCGGUGCCCCCAAGCGAUGGGCUCAAGCUACAGGGCGGGCUUUGCACCUGGCCUUCUCAGCUCUGAGGCAGGCAGUGGGCAGCUUCGCCUCCACCCUCCGUCCAGCGCCCUUCCCAUGGGGCCAUCCGCCUCUCCCUAAGGCACUAAAAACCAGUGGAGGAGUCAGGCCAUGUUGGCAAAAAGGGCUCGGGCAGCAGCCCCAGACCUAUAGUCCUAAAUAUCCAUGUACCCAGCCCUGGGGUCACGAGCCAUCUCAGGGACGACCCGAUUCCAGCGGAUGGAGAAGUUCCCUGAAAACACCUGCCUGGGAGGAGAGACGAGGGAACGGGAUUGGGCAAGUGUCAUCCGCCCAGCGGGCUUCUCAAAGGUUUUUAAAGCAGAAUGGGACGUAAUAGGAAGAUGUGUCUAGCAGAGAGUAAAAUAAAGGGGCAUUUAGAGGUGUGGGCACCUGGAUGGAAACAAAGGCUCCAAAGGGAUGAUGGUGAGGGUUACAGCCCACCACAGUAGACAGAGACACCAAGGAAGGAAUGCAGUCAGUGGCCCUGCGUAGACCGGCUCAGGAGAGAGCACACCAGCUCACCCCAGGACUCAUCCAAGGCUGGGGAUGGAUGUCGAUGCAGCAACUCUGGAAGGCAGAAGACAGUGCUUUACCAUGGAACUGAAACCAUGAAAAGUGAAACUGCAAAUAGGAGAGACUGCUGUAUAGUCACUGAAAAAUUAAUGGAUGAGCUCAACAGCAAAUUAGACACAACUGAAAAAGAGAGAAAAUGACACGAGGCUUUGGAACCAAGAGCUGGAGGAACCUGGAAGCGAAAGCUGAGGCUGUCAGCUGCCCAGCAGUUAACACCCUGAGACCAUCUUCCCACUUCCAACACCCACAGAAGCUGCCACCCAAGGGCCCCUGUGUCCCCGCAUGGCCCACCUCAGCAGUAUGAUGCAGCACUGGGGAAGUGACAGAAUGUGAAAAAAACUAUUAUAGCUGAGAUAUUUUAAAAUUCCGCCCUCCAGGCAGCAUCUGGUUGCUACAGCAACCCCAGCUCUGCAGGGUGUCCCGAUUACCAGCAGGCUCCCUGCACCUGCCUCAGGCUGAGAGCAGGCGGCUGCCGCCAAGGGGAACACCAAGGAAAUGCCCAUGUUCUGAUUCCAAGGUAAUGGCUCAGACCCAAGGGGAUUUUAUCUGUUCAAUGUGCAACCUGAUGAAGUUCUGUCCCAUGUUAAUAAUUUCAUUAAAAAUAUGGCCUUACAUCCUA
Pan troglodytes (chimpanzee) is the source of this 1416-nucleotide long non-coding RNA. RefSeq lists it as uncharacterized. Lineage: Eukaryota; Metazoa; Chordata; Mammalia; Primates; Hominidae. The transcript has 3 exons. The record is from RefSeq and is a predicted model, not a curated record.